Schistosoma margrebowiei is the source of this 33-nucleotide non-coding RNA. NCBI's taxonomy places the organism in Eukaryota, Metazoa, Platyhelminthes, Trematoda, Strigeidida, Schistosomatidae. The record is from Rfam.
AUCCAGCUGACGAGUCCCAAACAGGACGAAACG